RNAcentral lists this ribosomal RNA (573 nucleotides) under Paecilomyces sp. AM75. Its description in RNAcentral is "partial 18S ribosomal RNA". It matches the Rfam family "Eukaryotic small subunit ribosomal RNA", at positions 47 to 374 of the family's 1831-position model. The record is from RNAcentral. Lineage: Eukaryota; Fungi; Ascomycota; Eurotiomycetes; Eurotiales; Thermoascaceae.
ACAGCGACUGUAUUCAGAUAGCCAUGCAUGUCUAAAGUAUAAGCAAUCUAUACGGUGAAACUGCGAAUGGCUCAUUAAAUCAGUUAUCGUUUAUUUGAUAGUACCUUGCUACAUGGAUACCUGUGGUAAUUCUAGAGCUAAUACAUGCUGAAAACCCCGACUUCGGAAGGGGUGUAUUUAUUAAAUAAAAAACCAAUGCCCUUCGGGAGCUGCUUGGUGAUUCAUUAAUAACUUUAACGAAAUCGCAUUGGACACAUUGACGUCCGGACGAAAUGGUUUUCAUAUCAAAACUUUUUCAUACCUCUUAAUACAUACAUUAUCAAAUGGGGUUAAGAAAAUAUAAAGAGAAGAUUAAACCAAUUAUGUUGUGUCUUUUCAGCGGUGUCAAAACGGCAGAGGAUUUUUAAAAGAAGCGUAGGAAAAAUAUAAAGCUUUUCGAAAAAAAGGGGAUGAUAUUCCGAUAAAAUUCAUAUGAAAAGUACCAAAAAAUGGCGAUUUUAUAGUAGAACGUAGGGAGGGAAACGGAACAAACAAAGAAAAAAAGUGAUUGGGAUUCGGGAUAUAGGAAGUAGU